RNAcentral lists this transfer RNA (63 nucleotides) under Taeniopygia guttata (zebra finch). It matches the Rfam family "tRNA", at positions 6 to 65 of the family's 71-position model. From Rfam's summary of the family: Transfer RNA (tRNA) molecules are approximately 80 nucleotides in length. The record is from Rfam by way of RNAcentral. Lineage: Eukaryota; Metazoa; Chordata; Aves; Passeriformes; Estrildidae.
AUUAGCUCAGUUGGUUAGAGCCCGGUGCUAGUAACACCAAGGUCACAGGUUCAAUCCAUGUAU